Molecule: ribosomal RNA, 458 nt
Filed under: uncultured Alicycliphilus sp.
Lineage: Bacteria; Pseudomonadati; Pseudomonadota; Betaproteobacteria; Burkholderiales; Comamonadaceae
Description: bacterial SSU rRNA
Rfam family: Bacterial small subunit ribosomal RNA
Source: RNAcentral
AGAAUUGACGGGACCCGCACAAGCGGUGGAUGAUGUGGUUAAUUCGAUGCAACGCGAAAACUUACCACCUUUGACAUGUACGGAACCCUUUAGAGAUAGAGGGUGCUCGAAAGAGAGCCGUAACACAGGUGCUGCAUGGCUGUCGUCAGCUCGUGUCGUGAGAUGUUCGGUUAAGUCCGCUAACGAGCGCAACCCUCGCUGUGUGUUAUAUGUGUCACACGGGACUGCCGGUCUUAAGCCGGAGGAAGGUGGGGAUGAUGUCAAGUCAGCAUGGCCUUUAUAUCCUGGGCUACACACACGCUACAAUGGCCAACACAAUAGGUUGCUAAGCCGCGAGGUGGCGCCAAUCCAUAAAGUUGGUCUCAGUUCAGAUUGUAGGCUGCAACCCGCCUGCAUGAAGAUGGAGUUGCUAGUAACCGCAGGUCAGCUAUACUGCGGUGAAUACGUUCCCGGGGCUU